CGCCGGGACGCGGGCGCUGGGUUCCUCUGCAAAGAGCAGCGUAGCAGAGCGGUUGGGAGAGCUGUGCUGGACAGAGGACGGCCGGCCGCGAGCGGAGCCUCCCACCGGCGAGCAUUGCCAGGCGAGGAGAGAAAACCUGGGCAGCCUUAAAACACUCAGAGUGUAAUGUGACGCUUCCAAACCUUUGCAGCCUGCGGGCGAAAGUCUGCUCGAGGAGCCUGAAGACGCACCAUCCCCACUUAUCGCCCCAGAGGCAGGCUAUCUAGCUGACAAGCUGUGCGGUGAAAAACCAGGUGCCCAUGUGCCUGCUGCUCACCCAAGGCCUGAAAGGGAUCAGCUGCUCAUUUUGCAGAGCAAAGUAAGAUGGCAACAAGGAGUGCUUUCCUGGUGCCAGAUUUCAUCUGAAAUUGGUCCUAUGCUGAACAAGUUGGGGCCACUGAGAAGCAGAAAGUGGAUGAAGCAAGAUCCUAAAAGGGAAAGACCAAUGUUUUAUUUACUACAAUAAACCCUAAACCCAG
Gallus gallus (chicken) is the source of this 518-nucleotide long non-coding RNA. Lineage: Eukaryota; Metazoa; Chordata; Aves; Galliformes; Phasianidae. The record is from Ensembl.